ACCUUUAUUUAACCUAUGCAGAGAAAAAGUUCACAUAUGAUAAUCCAAAAUAUAAUGGAAAGUAUGUUGUUACGUGUCAUUGGGCAUUUUUAAGUGGGUAUAUGGAAAUCCUGGAGCUGUCUUAGUGUGUAUACUGCGUAUACCUGCGUAUCCUGUAGACUACACCAUUGGCUGGUAGAGAUUUAA
Etheostoma cragini (Arkansas darter) is the source of this 186-nucleotide long non-coding RNA. RefSeq lists it as uncharacterized. Lineage: Eukaryota; Metazoa; Chordata; Actinopteri; Perciformes; Percidae. The record is from RefSeq and is a predicted model, not a curated record. The transcript has 3 exons.